GUUCAAAGGAAGACAUAAAAAGAAACAUGAUUUUGAAGUGGCGGUGAAAUGCAUUAACAAGAAAAACCUCGCCAAAUCACAGUCGCUACUAGGAAAAGAAAUCAGGAUAUUAAAGGAGCUGAAACAUGAGAACAUUGUCAGCUUACUAGACUUUCAGGUAU
Sinocyclocheilus anshuiensis is the source of this 161-nucleotide long non-coding RNA. RefSeq lists it as uncharacterized. NCBI's taxonomy places the organism in Eukaryota, Metazoa, Chordata, Actinopteri, Cypriniformes, Cyprinidae. The record is from RefSeq and is a predicted model, not a curated record. The transcript is spliced from 3 exons.